AAUGAGAAGAGAAGCAGCUGGAGAAAGGAGCUCGGAGGAACGGCCCAGGGUGCGCGGCUCACCUCUUUUCAAGGGUGAUGCAACAGGGUCAGACCGAAGAAGGGAAGGAGCCGGGAAGGAGCAAACCAGUGUCCGGCUGGAAACGGGAGGGAUGCACGGGCGGCAGGGGAAGGGGCCUAGGAGAGGAGGGCGGGCGAGGGCAGCGGGUCCCAAGCGGGGCGGCACGAGGGACCCGGGGGGGACAGGCAGGAAGGGUGGGCGCCGCCGGGCCUCCGAGGACAGACACUCAAGGAGGACGGGGUGACCUGGCCCGAGACCACCCCAAGCAGAGAAGAUUCGACAUCUGAUAUCAGCUAUGGAAAACAAAAACAACCUCGUGCUCAAGGCAUCUUCGCUGAAUGAGUCAACAAGCCUGGUAAAUGAUACGCUUUUGUUGGAUGAAAAAACUCAUGCUCUACAAAAAUAUGGCCAUAGCAGAGUCCAUAUUCUCAACAACAGUAUUAAUGUGUUUAUCUUUCCUUGAAGUGUCGACAAUGCAAGACAUGUAAAGACAAAAUGCCUCUGGAGCCAAUCCAUACUUUUUUAUACUUUUUGUGUCUAUGGUGCUGGGGAUCAAAACAGAGCCUCCUGCUUGCUGGGAAACCAUCCCACCACUAAGCUACAGCCUCGGCACAUUUUAUUUGGAGACAAUUCUAGAUUAACA
RNAcentral lists this long non-coding RNA (703 nucleotides) under Heterocephalus glaber (naked mole-rat). RNAcentral describes it as "lncRNA (ENSHGLG00100036470.1)". Lineage: Eukaryota; Metazoa; Chordata; Mammalia; Rodentia; Bathyergidae. The record is from RNAcentral.